CCUUAGUAAAGUGGCGUACGGGUGAGUAACGCGUAGGUAAUCUACCCUAGAAUCUGGAAUAACCUGCCGAAAGGCGGGCUAAUACUGGAUAGAGCGAGGAAUCCGUAAUAGGGUUUUUCGGGAAAGGGGGCUCGCAAGAGCUCUUGUUCUAGGAUGAGCCUGCGUCUCAUUAGCUAGUUGGUGGGGUAAAGGCCCACCAAGGCUUUGAUGGGUAGCUGGUCUGAGAGGAUGAUCAGCCACACUGGAACUGAAACACGGUCCAGACUCCUACGGGAGGCAGCAGUGGGGAAUCUUGCGCAAUGGACGAAAGUCUGACGCAGCCACGCCGCGUGAGUGAAGAAGGCCUUCGGGUUGUAAAGCUCUGUCGGGCGGGACGAAAACCUUUAGGGCUAAUACCCCUAGAGAUUGACGGUACCGCCAAAGGAAGCACCGGCUAACUUCGUGCCAGCAGCCGCGGUAAUACGAGGGGUGCGAGCGUUGCUCGGAAUUAUUGGGCGUAAAGGGUAGGUAGGUGGUCUUAUUUGUCUGGGGUGAAAUCCUUGAGCUUAACUCAAGAAGUGCCCUAGAAACGGUAAGACUAGAGUCCUGGAGAGGGUCGUGGAAUUCCCGGUGUAGCGGUGAAAUGCGUAGAGAUCGGGAGGAACACCAGAGGCGAAGGCGGCGACCUGGACAGGUACUGACACUCAAC
This 688-nucleotide ribosomal RNA is filed under the name uncultured bacterium. RNAcentral describes it as "bacterial SSU rRNA". It matches the Rfam family "Bacterial small subunit ribosomal RNA", at positions 85 to 751 of the family's 1533-position model. The record is from RNAcentral.